RNAcentral lists this ribosomal RNA (253 nucleotides) under uncultured bacterium. RNAcentral's name for it is "partial 16S ribosomal RNA". It matches the Rfam family "Bacterial small subunit ribosomal RNA", at positions 524 to 776 of the family's 1533-position model. The record is from RNAcentral.
UACGUAGGGAGCAAGCGUUGUCCGGAAUCAUUGGGCGUAAAGAGCGCGUAGGUGGAUUAAUUAGUCUGCUGUGAAAGUCAAAGGCUCAACCUUUGAAUGCCGGUGGAUACUGUUGAUCUAGAGUACGGAAGAGGCGAGUGGAAUUCCUGGUGUAGCGGUGGAAUGCGCAGAUAUCAGGAGGAACACCAAUAGCGAAGGCAGCUCGCUGGGACGUUACUGACACUGAGGCGCGAAAGCGUGGGGAGCAAACAGG